GAGCGAGGAAGAAGGAAGCGCUCGGGUCCGCGAGCGACUCGAGGCCCAUGGAGGCCCUAGAGACCGUCUAUCAUGGAUAUUUAACUGCAGUUCUGUGAGUAUCCCAACUUAACCAUGAAGAUGAACUGCAAACUGUAAGUCAUAAGUUUCUCAUUACUCUUGGGCACAUUGAUGUAUUUUGGCUUCCUGGUGAGUUAGCCUGUUUCCUGAUAGUUGAUCUGAGUAUUAAGGAUGUUUUAUUGGUUCAUGGGUUACUUAGGUGUUUGGUUUAUGUUGGUUUUAAUGAUUUGUUAAAAUGGUUACAGGCUCCAAGUUAUUGUUGUAAGCUGGAGUAAUGGGUUGGGUUCUGAUAUCAUCAGUCUUCUUUCCAGCUACUCUCCUGAGCUCUGCAUCUUCGUGUUGCUUUACUGAUUAGGCUGUGGUCUGAGUGAGCGGAGGUGCAUACUGGGAUACAGAGCUGUCUGAAGUCUACAGGUCUGUAGACAAGCCCCCUCAGGGGAAACCGAGUGUUUGAGAAACCGUCGUGACGUCAGUGACAUGGACUGGAAUGUUCUUUAAAAUGGACUCAGGGAUUCAGAAGGAGAAACGCCAGGGGGAGAUGAGGGGGCUCCUCAUCUCAACGACCAAAACACAGCUUCAGUCUGACACAGAGAACCAUGGAACACAUUCAACAGUCUCCUCCAGGCAUCGUGACUCCUCAGGAACAGUUUCAUUUCCAUGAAGGUCUUAUUUGGGGCCAUCCCCAGAUGGAUCCUGCUCCUCAAGAGCCACCCCCCUCCACUGGGUUGUCUUCUGAACAGAUGACCUCCUUCCUGUCAUCCGGCUGACUAAAGCUGUACUGUUUGCAUUUGUGAAGGCCCCUCAUUCAGGAAACCACUGGACUACAAAGACAUGACUUCAGAGAUGUUGAAUCAACCUCGGACACAUUUUGGAGACGCCAAGCAUAAUCCAUCACCAAUGUGGGACGCCACUGAAGAAUGUUGUACAUAAGUAAACGUCUCUGGAGACAUUGGUUGUUCUGUUCUGGGUGCCCUGGCAGGAAAGCUGGGGGGGGGAUGAUGGAAUGUUAAUUGGCAUGAGGUUUUUACCCUGCAUGAUUGUUUGGCCUUUUAUGGCACAGUGGUGUGUGUGUUUGGGUUUGACAUGAGAUGGAUGAUUUUUGAGCAUCACUAGGGUUCGCGUGCGUGCGUGCGUGUGUGUCCGGCUUGCUUUGACAGUGAUAAUGUUCAUACAAGGGUCUGUGUGAUUGGCUUGGGAUAUUGGAAUGGUCAAAUAAAUCAUACCUGAUGGACGGCCACACAUUUACUUAAGGGCCUCCAGUAGACAUGAAGAGCCCUGAGCAAUGCUCCGGAGUGAUAUCCAACACACUGGGCAGGAAGGAGAGUAUCCAAAUCAAGUGUAAAAGGGGCGUGUUCAGAUCAGUGAGUUCAAACUAGGAAUACACCAAUCAGGAUCAAUGGAGGAUGGACAUCUAAAGGCAUUCCACAAGGAGUCUGACGUUGGAAAGGGACCUAAAUGGAUAUUCAAGAUGACGUUCAGACCUGUAAUGAGACGGCUCUUCCUACCUGGCUGGAUUGAUGGAGAGCCCUGUGGAUCUUGUCUUGCUCUCAGUUGCACGUCUUCUCAGGAUGAACUAUUUGUUUCGGACAGGACUAGCUGAACGAUUGUUUCCCUUAAAUCAGAACCAAUCCGGGAACUCCAGCUAGUGCGCUCUUCGAGCUGAAGUUGUGCUCUUCGAGCUGAAGUUGUGCUCUUCAGCUGAGGUGGUAAGGAAACCUUCACUGGGGAGGAUGUUUCAAAGUGUUCCAUGGUACUCUGAUGAAGACCGUUGUUGUGUUCCACUGGCUGAGAGGAAGAACCCUUACAUCUUCUUCUUGGCCUUUCUCCUCUGAGAAUCCUGGCGCCAUCUUGAAGGAUAUUCCAGCUCAUGCAACUGAUGUCACGACAGAUUCUCAAACACUUGGUUUCUCCUGAGGAGCGUGUCUAUAGAACUGAAGACUUCAGACGGCACUGUAUCCCAGCAUGCAUCUCUGCUCACUCAGACCACACCCCCAUGAGUACAAUGCAACAUUCUAGUGAUGGAGAUGUAGAGUUUUAAGUAACGAGGGAGGAGACAAAGGUUAUUAGAACACAAUGGAAUGUCAAGUCUGUAAAUCUUUAAACCAUGAAGAUGGUUGGAUAGUUCAGGAAUUGGGCUUCUUUUUAUUAUGGGCAGUCCUUUCACUCAGAUGCCCGCUUCUCACUGGAGCUGUACAUGUGUUGGCUGGCUGGCGUGAUUUGGUGAUGAGGCGGUCAGGGUGACGUUGCAGGGCUAUGGUCGGCUCUGUGAGCUCAACGUUUAGAUUUGCUCUGUAUGGUUUGUACCCUGAAUAAUCUAGAUAAUUGUAAAAUGUAGACACUGUUUUGUAUUGAAUGAUUCCAGGAUUUAAUGUUUAAAGUUGUUGUGGGACGUACAUGGUAGUUUGGUUCUUCGUACGGUUUUGAGUGAUAUAACUUAUACACACUGGGUGCAUAAUAAUGUAAAGUACACUGAAUAGUAGUAAUGACCGACAGCAACAAACAGAUCUCCUCAAGGUAAGUCUGUUGGCUGUGUUUUAAUGAAGACCAUCGCUGGACUUCAGGAUCUUCCUCCGUUCAGCUCAAGGUGAGGCGCUGGUUCUGUUUUUUCUUUGGUUGGUUCCGGCCGGAAUGUUCGGAUUCCAGUCGGACGGUUUGUGCUUCCCGCCGUGGAAGGUUCUGAUUGCGGUCAAUCGAUUUAGUUCCAAUGGUUAGCAUAGAACGUUGUAGUCUUGACAACCAUAAGAAACCACCUGGCUGUUAGUUGGACGGGAGUCCCCUGAGGGAAUCUGGCGGAACGUUCUGGAUUGUAUUUGCGUAACCUCGAGUCGUUGCCAACAGAAUUUUUUUUUUCAGUCGGUCUCCCUUGACGAUUUAUCAUGGUUGCGCCGUACUUUUAACCACGAUGACGUGACGGGACUCUCACUGCGUACAAAACAGCGUUCUACUUGCGGGCCCAUUUUUGACAUCAGUGAAGGCUGAAAAUCAUUUCAAGGUGGAAGAUAAUUUGACAUUUCUUCAGAGGAACCCAGCACCUGAUUCUGGUUGAGUAUAUUUGAUUUAGUAUCGAUACUGCUUAGUGUUCUUUGUUACUUCAGCUUUUAUACUUUCUAAAUAUCUGCUGUCAUUAAUUGCCACAGAAGUUAAACCCUACCCAAUGGAAUGACGUUAAACAACGACUUUGGUGCAGAGUUACCAACUGGAUAAUAUCAAACAUAAAAUAAAGGCCAUCCUUCCCACAUGUUACAGUAGAAGAUACUCUAGAACUGUACAAGGUUAAAAAGGUAACGUGUAGUUUGUCCCAAGGUGUCUGCCUUCUCACCCAGAGCAAGACCUCCACCUCCUCACCCAGAGCCAGACCUCCACCUCCUCACCCAGAGCCAGACCUCCACCUCCUCACCCAGAGCCAGACCUCCACCUCCUCACCCAGAGCCAGACCUCCACCUCCUCACCCAGAGCCAGACCUCCACCUCCUCACCCAGAGCCAGACCUUCACCUCCUCACCCGGAGCCAGACCUCCACCUCCUGUCAGAAGUCUUCCAGAACAGACAAGGAACCCAUGGCUGAUGGAGGAGUUGUGCUGAAGGCCCUGCCUGGUGGAGGAGCUGGUGGAGGCCCUGCCUGGUGAAGGACGUCUGUCGUGGGACAGGACUCUGUCUGAGGAGAGCUGCUGGAGGAGCUGAGACGCUGGAGGACGACUAGGAAUCGACCAACAAGGAUUCCUCAACGUGUUUCUGGAGCGGAGGCGAGCUGGUAGGGGAGCCAUGAAUCUGGAGGAUGACCAUCACUCUAUCAACAAGGAUUACUUUAGGGCCAGACUUGCGCUGUUUGUUCCAGACCAGGACUCUGGCUGAUGGAGGAGCCAAGACUCUGGAGGACGACAUCACUCUACCAACCAAGAUCCUCACCAGGAAUCGGGAAGACUGAUGGAGAAGCCGUACAUCUGGAAGGCAAAUCCAGAGGACAACCAGGACUCUACCAUCAAGGCAGACACACCUGAGCUGAACCUCACCUGAUCUUGUUUGGUCGGGGGUAGACACACCUGAGCUAAACCCGCCCUGAUCCUGACAUCCUGCUGGUCCCGUCUCCUCAGUUCAUCUGCGCCUCGUCCUCCAGAAGACCUGCUGAGCUCAGCAGUCUGAGGCUGAUGGAUCAAUGACCUCCAGUGGGAGUGAUCUUCUUGACCCCACAUGUAACCGUGUGUUUCCACACGCCUUUCCCUCAUGUUUGUCACUAACCUCACUACUUCACUACUCUCUGCUGCUUCCUCUUUUCUUCCUUCUCUGUGGUUCGAAACUUUACACGGAAGGCGCGUCUUCCUGCCCUCAGAGGGUUCAGCGUUAGGGUUGAGAGUCAGGGUUUAGAGUCAGGGACAGAGCUGGUCAGGGAGGACUGCUUUUACACAAACCUCUUCACUUCCUUUCGGAAUGGUGGUGACAUUUUGAAAAGAUUCAUUUGGGAAAAUGUUUUCCUCUGCUUUCCUUUACAAAAUUGUAUUCAAUUUCUGUCAAGUGUUUUUGUUUAGAUAUUAAAAUCCCACAUUGACUUCU
Molecule: long non-coding RNA, 4607 nt
Organism: Gadus chalcogrammus (walleye pollock)
Lineage: Eukaryota; Metazoa; Chordata; Actinopteri; Gadiformes; Gadidae
Exons: 8
Source: RefSeq, a predicted model, not a curated record